Molecule: long non-coding RNA, 2504 nt
Organism: Musa acuminata AAA Group (dessert banana)
Lineage: Eukaryota; Viridiplantae; Streptophyta; Magnoliopsida; Zingiberales; Musaceae
Exons: 6
Source: RefSeq, a predicted model, not a curated record
GUAUGGUGCAUCCACCAAUGGUCUGCACUUAGGGAGGACCGCGUAGUACUACCAUCCAUGGGAGCAUGACGAUGGCGGUGUGGGUCAAGAUGCCAUCGGAUACCUCCAUGUUCUUUCUCAUCCGAUCACAGUACCUCCCCCUCGCUGCCCUUUUCUCCGGGAGGAUGCUAUCGUCUGUGGCACGACUGCUGACAGCGCGCCUUCGAGGUGCCUCUCAAGAGUAUCUGCAAGUGCUCGAGAUCCCUAACUUGCGUGCAUCCAUUGUAUGAGAAGCGGCGUUUUCAAAUGGUGGAUUCCGACCAAGAAAUUCAAAUCGCAUUUGAUUCUUUGAGGUUGGAGGAUCGGUCGCGUGUCCUUUGCGAGGCGGAUCUAUAUCAGGAUGAUCUGUAUCAAUGCGUUUUCUUUGAUGGGCGAAACGCAAGAAAUCGUGCAUAUCACUCUUGAUGGUGCUUUCUUUUCGGGGAAGGUAUCUGAUUAUGGAAUACUGUGAUUUGCAUCUCAUGCUGCAUUCUUGCGGCAACCUAACCGAGUUCUUGCCUCUGACUCUGCUCCUUCGAGGGCUUCCCUUGUUCAGAGUUUUUCUGUUCAUGAAAGAUUGGAGAUACUGGACAGGAGAAAUGUUCCGAAUCAAGAGGGCUUUCUUUAAGAUCUCGAUACAAUCUCACGAACACUCUUCUGCUGUAUUCCCUUGAGAUCAAGCUACGACAAGGCUGUUGCCGUUCUUAUCGAUCUUGGAAAGCCAUGUUCUUGUGGAACAGAUUCAAGAGCCAUGGUUUGGAGCAAAAAUUGACCUCUUCUGUUUACUGGAAGUUGAGGACAAAUGGUGCCUGCAGCUCUUCUGCAUGAAAUACAGCAUACUGUUAAUUCAGCAACAUGGAUUAUUAAAGGUGCUCAAAUUUUUUGGUCAGAUUGCAAAAUUUCUCUUAGUGUCACAAUGAAGAAUUCAUCGGUGAAGAGUGGUGUCGACAUCUGGUUCGCUGCUGGAAACCGGGAAGCGUGCGGCGGUCUGAUCGAGCCACGAGCUCACUGACGGUGAGGUGGACUGCGAACCCGAGCGAUCGCUGUGGUCAUCGAACCAACAGGGCGGAGGACCACGGAGAGGCCUGGAUGGACGAAUUAGAUCGGGAUGGAUGAACCACACGGGUCGGCGACACUGCUGCUGUUCCUUCUCUUCCCUCAUCUCUUUCACUCUCUGUAGCUCUCUGAAUCGCUCUUGCAGCAGCGCGAUGGACGACUGCGUCACGGUUGGUUGGUUGCCGUGCCUCCUCCCCAUGAAUCAGUUUGGAACAGUACUGAAUGAUGCGCAGGGGGGGAGGAGAAUCUAUUGGAGGGAUGCAAAGUCCAAGAGGGAAGAAGUUGGGCGUGGUGGACGGGGGCAGGGCCAAAGCCACUUUUGCAAGGGAGAUUAAAGUAUGAGAGCAGCUCCAAAGACAUGCAUGGAGGUUAGCAUUUGGAGGAGAAUCAAAGGUUAUGUGAUGGAUUGUCCUCUUAUCCUCCUUUUUGCUGAGCUUCCACUUCUCACCGGAUCAGAUCAAUGUGGCUACUGUUCUGCCUCAGGUUCUUUGUUUUAUAUGCUUAGCUCUGGGAAUCUGAACCCCGUAGCGGACCCGAUGAAGAAGAAAAGGUUCAGCCGACGCCACGAACGAUCCAGAUCGCCGUAAAGCUCCAGAUGAUGAUGAUAAAGGACGACGACAUUGUUGGGGGCUAGGUUGAUCUACACAAUCUAGGGCUUAGCACAAGUCAUCCAACUUGCUCAUUGCCCAGUAUAUGACUAAGAAGGGCCAAGAAGAUGGCAGGCGAAGUGUAUAAUCUGGUUAUGCGGUUUUACCCCAUAUGUCGUUGAUCAGAUAACCCUCCACCAAUUUCUCCCAUAACACACAUACCAAGGUGACAACCAACAAAAGAAGAAAUUGCACAGAUUAAUUUGAAUCCAGAGAGACAUCUGAAAUUAAAGUUGUGUUCACAAUUAGGUUACAACUAAUUUUCCUCUAUUUUCCCCAAUCAUGCUUCUCCGACAUGAGUUAUUUCAUGGAACAGAAUGUUCCAAACCAAUGGAGACCCUGCUAUUGAUUGAUAGUCAGCGUCGGUGAUACUCUGACCUUGAAAUUUAAGUUGACAAAUUAAUAGGCAAAACUACUCUACUCCCAUAGAAUUACAAGGCAUAGUACAAUCAAUCUGCAAAUUGGGAAUCACAUCACAGUGCACCAAUCAUCCAGAUUCAGCAGCAAGAAACAAGCAACCAAAUCAACAUCAAAUUCACAUCGCAACAGGAGGAGAUGCAGGAUCGAUCGGAAGGUACCUCGACGGUCCAAACGAAGAAAUCCAAGGGCUCCGUGGACCGGCCCUUGCUCAUCUCCCCCUUCCGUGCAAAGAAACCCUACAUGUCGCAUCACAGUGACUCCCGCUCAAAUUCAAUUCGCAAAAUCAAGAACACCACCAAGAUUUCUAUGAAGAUUACCGUCUCGACGGACCGUAAUCUUAUUAUAUUUUAUCAUCCUAUCAUA